AAUUCUUGGCAUAAGUUUCAUGCAAAUCAUAGUAACGAGUGCCUCGUCAAUGCUUAUGUUUUUCAUAGAACUCAAUGAUUCUUGCUUGUAUCUCUAUUAUGCAAUUCAUGUAGGGAACUUGUAGGAAAUGUUUUGGGUUGUCGUAUGCGAUCAUCCAACCUAAUAACUUGUGGAAAAACUGAGGGUUAAUUAGUGCAAUUCACGGUUAAUUUGGGGCAUUGAGUAUUCAUAGUUUAUCGAAAAGCAACAGGAAAUCGUUUUGUAUGCAAGUGUGACAUGUGUGGAGAAGAACCUCCUAGCUAGCCUUCCAUCCAUAAGUUUCAUUCAAAUUCAUUUUACAAUCUGUUUUGAUUCACUUAAAUUUGUCUAAGAAUUUGUUUACUUUGUUCUUUUCUUAAUUUAAUUAUUUUCGUCCAAAAUCAACCCCUUCUUAUUUCUUUG
This 441-nucleotide long non-coding RNA is filed under the name Malus domestica (apple). Its description in RNAcentral is "long non-coding RNA (MDOM_LNC014113)". Lineage: Eukaryota; Viridiplantae; Streptophyta; Magnoliopsida; Rosales; Rosaceae. The record is from RNAcentral.